This 73-nucleotide transfer RNA is filed under the name Stegodyphus mimosarum. It matches the Rfam family "tRNA". From Rfam's summary of the family: Transfer RNA (tRNA) molecules are approximately 80 nucleotides in length. Their secondary structure includes four short double-helical elements and three loops (D, anti-codon, and T loops). Further hydrogen bonds mediate the characteristic L-shaped molecular structure. tRNAs have two regions of fundamental functional importance: the anti-codon, which is responsible for specific mRNA codon recognition, and the 3' end, to which the tRNAs corresponding amino acid is attached (by aminoacyl-tRNA synthetases). tRNAs cope with the degeneracy of the genetic code in two manners: having more than one tRNA (with a specific anti-codon) for a particular amino acid; and 'wobble' base-pairing, i.e. permitting non-standard base-pairing at the 3rd anti-codon position. The record is from Rfam by way of RNAcentral. Lineage: Eukaryota; Metazoa; Arthropoda; Arachnida; Araneae; Eresidae.
GCCUUCGUGGUGUAGUGGACAGCACGCUCGCCCCGUAUUCGACAGAUCCGUGGUUCGAGCCCCGGCGAGGGCA